GAUGAACGCUGGCGGCGUGCCUAAUACAUGCAAGUCGAGCGAACGGACGAGAAGCUUGCUUUUCUGAUGUUAGCGGCGGACGGGUGAGUAACACGUGGAUAACCUACCUAUAAGACUGGGGUAACUUCGGGAAACCGGAGCUAAUACCGGAUAAUAUUUUGAACCGCAUGGUUCAAAAGUGAAAGACGGUCUUGCUGUCACUUAUAGAUGGGUCCGCGCUGCAUUAGCUAGUUGGUAAGGUAACGGCUUACCAAGGCAACGAUGCAUAGCCGACCUGAGAGGGUGAUCGGCCACACUGGAACUGAGACACGGUCCAGACUCCUACGGGAGGCAGCAGUAGGGAAUCUUCCGCAAUGGGCGAAAGCCUGACGGAGCAACGCCGUGUGAGUGAUGAAGGUCUUCGGAUCGUAAAACUCUGUUAUUAGGGAAGAACAUAUGUGUAAGUAACUGUGCACAUCUUGACGGUACCUAAUCAGAAAGCCACGGCUAACUACGUG
This 497-nucleotide ribosomal RNA is filed under the name uncultured bacterium. RNAcentral describes it as "partial 16S ribosomal RNA". It matches the Rfam family "Bacterial small subunit ribosomal RNA", at positions 28 to 507 of the family's 1533-position model. The record is from RNAcentral.